This 393-nucleotide ribosomal RNA is filed under the name uncultured bacterium. Its description in RNAcentral is "bacterial SSU rRNA". It matches the Rfam family "Bacterial small subunit ribosomal RNA", at positions 28 to 418 of the family's 1533-position model. The record is from RNAcentral.
GAUGAACGCUAGCGGCAGGCUUAACACAUGCAAGUCGAGGGGUAACAGAGUAGCUUGCUACUGCUGACGACCGGCGCACGGGUGCGUAACGCGUAUACAAUUUGCCUCAUACUGGAAGAUAGCCCUAAGAAAUUGGGAUUAAUAUUCCAUAAUACUAUUGAAUCGCAUGGUUUGAUAGUUAAAGCUCCGGUGGUAUGAGAUGAGUAUGCGUCCUAUUAGUUAGUUAGUGAGGUAACGGCUCACCAAGACUACGGUAGGUAGGGGGCCUGAGAGGGUUAUCCCCCACACUGGUACUGAGACACGGACCAGACUCCUACGGGAGGCAGCAGUGAGGAAUAUUGGACAAUGGAGGCAACUCUGAUCCAGCCAUGCCGCGUGAGUGAAGAAGGCCUU